UACGGAGGGUGCAAGCGUUAAUCGGAAUUACUGGGCGUAAAGCGUGCGCAGGCGGUUUGUUAAGUCUGCUGUGAAAUCCCCGAGCUCAACUUGGGAAUUGCAGUGGAUACUGGCAAGCUGGAGUACGGUAGAGGAGGGUGGAAUUCCCGGUGUAGCAGUGAAAUGCGUAGAGAUCGGGAGGAACACCAGUGGCGAAGGCGGCCUUCUGGACCAGUACUGACGCUCAUGCACGAAAGCGUGGGGAGCAAACAGG
RNAcentral lists this ribosomal RNA (253 nucleotides) under uncultured bacterium. Its description in RNAcentral is "partial 16S ribosomal RNA". It matches the Rfam family "Bacterial small subunit ribosomal RNA", at positions 524 to 776 of the family's 1533-position model. The record is from RNAcentral.